Molecule: long non-coding RNA, 504 nt
Organism: Chroicocephalus ridibundus (black-headed gull)
Lineage: Eukaryota; Metazoa; Chordata; Aves; Charadriiformes; Laridae
Exons: 3
Source: RefSeq, a predicted model, not a curated record
UUUUUCGAGUAGGAACUAGCUUCCAGAUUUCACCUUCUUUCCUCUCACGAUCUGAUUCUUAUUAUGAGUAAGGGCUUCAUCUCACUUCACUCUUAUAUGACUGCAAGAUUUUCACUGUAGUCUUAAAAAGAAAUGGACUAAAACCAGGAAAGGCUUUGAAUGUGGAAUAUAUUGAAUUGGGCAUGCUUGAAGUUGUGCAUUUGAGAGCAUCUCUCAGGAGCAAGCUGGCUUUCAGGUGGAAAAUGAAUGCCUUAAAAAUUAGUGAAAACUCAGCAUUGAUAUUUCCUUGUUCCUUCUUGAUGUAGAUAAUUUCUACAGCCAUGUCAAGAAUGAAAUGCAAUUUCAUAUUGUGUGCCCGUGUGAAGAGAGGUCUAUUUUUGAGAAGAUCCAUAAUCAAAAGGUUAGACGAUAACUUGAUAGGUUAAAAAAUGCUGAAUACAUUAAAUAUUUCUUCAGUUACAAAUAUGGAAUUUGCCUUUGGAAAAUGUUAGAUUUUAAAACAGC